AGUAGCCAGGCCUGACCCGCUGGUCCCCUACUGGCGGGAGGAAAGAGGCGGCACCAUGAGCCACGCAGUAACCAUCGAGGAGCCCCAGGCCCAGCCGCAGGUGUCUCAAACUCGGUACCGGGAGAGGUCGCGGGCUGGGAGCCACAUCUCCUCCAAUCGAGCGUAUGAUUUUCUGUACGAUCCAUUGUUUAUUGUGUCAAGUGAGAAAGACCACACACAGGCAAAUAUCCAAGCCACCCUGAUUCGCAGCAGACUGGUAUGUCUAAUUCAUCAGCCAAGGCUACCUGAUGAACCUGAACCAUCUAGUUUGCCUGACUGCAUUGAUCAGAUUGACUAAUCACCAAAUCUUCACUGGAUUUUAGGUUCCACAGAAAUUACCUUGCCAAGAUUACUGGAGGGCAAAGCAUCUUAAUACUUGUGGCUCAUUGUGAGGAUUAAGUCACUAAUAAUGAACAGAGAACCCAUAAGCUAAUUU
This 475-nucleotide small RNA is filed under the name Pan troglodytes (chimpanzee). Its description in RNAcentral is "retained intron". Lineage: Eukaryota; Metazoa; Chordata; Mammalia; Primates; Hominidae. The record is from RNAcentral.